This 528-nucleotide ribosomal RNA is filed under the name Hemitrichia calyculata. Its description in RNAcentral is "SSU rRNA". It matches the Rfam family "Eukaryotic small subunit ribosomal RNA", at positions 50 to 553 of the family's 1831-position model. The record is from RNAcentral. Lineage: Eukaryota; Evosea; Eumycetozoa; Trichiida; Trichiidae.
CAUGCAGGCCUAAGAAGUAGUAGCUCGAUCCGAAAUCUGCGGGAGGCUCCGUAUAUCUGUUAUAACCUUCCGCCCGGAUUCGACCACGGAUAUCCUAGGUAAUUCUUAGGUUAAUACGUGUACCGACGAGCUGGCAAAGGGGGGGCUGGCUAACCCCAGCCCCCCCGUAGUGCAGCUCGGGGCUUGCACGCCCUACCAAGGCUCCCCUUAACAGGGGUGAAUGGCGGGAAGGCGGGCAAGCGUGCCAGACCGUCCCUGAGGCGGUGUGGGCGAUGGACACCAGACCUAUCAACCUUGGUGCCGGGGCGAGCCCAGCACCGGUGAUAACGGGUACAGAGGAUCAGGGUUCGGUCCUGGAGAGGUAGCCUUAGAGAUCGCUACUACUUCUAAGGAAGGCAGCAGGCGCGCAACGUUCCCCAUGGGUAUGCCCCCCCUGAGGACGUGACGGGGCAUAGCAACGCGGUACCGUAAUCGGUUCCGCGAUUGCAAUGGGGCGGAUUUAGAUCCCCCGCCGAGUAACAAUUGGAG